Molecule: long non-coding RNA, 156 nt
Organism: Sander lucioperca (pikeperch)
Lineage: Eukaryota; Metazoa; Chordata; Actinopteri; Perciformes; Percidae
Exons: 3
Source: RefSeq, a predicted model, not a curated record
UAGCGCUUUAUCAUAGACACUCAAAGCGCUUCGGGGGGGGGGGGGGGGCCUACUCUCUAACACCACCAAUGUGUAGCACCCACCUGGGUGAUGCACGGCAGCCUUACGACGCCAGACGCUCACCACACAUUAGCUUGUGUAAAGUAGUUUUUAUUU